RNAcentral lists this ribosomal RNA (1457 nucleotides) under uncultured organism. RNAcentral's name for it is "SSU rRNA". It matches the Rfam family "Bacterial small subunit ribosomal RNA". The record is from RNAcentral.
GGCUCAGAUUGAACGCUGGCGGCAGGCCUAACACAUGCAAGUCGAGCGGUAGCACAGAGAGCUUGCUCUCGGGUGACGAGCGGCGGACGGGUGAGUAAUGUCUGGGAAACUGCCUGAUGGAGGGGGAUAACUACUGGAAACGGUAGCUAAUACCGCAUAACGUCGCAAGACCAAAGUGGGGGACCUUCGGGCCUCAUGCCAUCAGAUGUGCCCAGAUGGGAUUAGCUAGUAGGUGGGGUAACGGCUCACCUAGGCGACGAUCCCUAGCUGGUCUGAGAGGAUGACCAGCCACACUGGAACUGAGACACGGUCCAGACUCCUACGGGAGGCAGCAGUGGGGAAUAUUGCACAAUGGGCGCAAGCCUGAUGCAGCCAUGCCGCGUGUAUGAAGAAGGCCUUCGGGUUGUAAAGUACUUUCAGCGGGGAGGAAGGCGAUAAGGUUAAUAACCUUGUCGAUUGACGUUACCCGCAGAAGAAGCACCGGCUAACUCCGUGCCAGCAGCCGCGGUAAUACGGAGGGUGCAAGCGUUAAUCGGAAUUACUGGGCGUAAAGCGCACGCAGGCGGUCUGUCAAGUCGGAUGUGAAAUCCCCGGGCUCAACCUGGGAACUGCAUUCGAAACUGGCAGGCUAGAGUCUUGUAGAGGGGGGUAGAAUUCCAGGUGUAGCGGUGAAAUGCGUAGAGAUCUGGAGGAAUACCGGUGGCGAAGGCGGCCCCCUGGACAAAGACUGACGCUCAGGUGCGAAAGCGUGGGGAGCAAACAGGAUUAGAUACCCUGGUAGUCCACGCCGUAAACGAUGUCAAUUUGGAGGUUGUGCCCUUGAGGCGUGGCUUCCGGAGCUAACGCGUUAAAUCGACCGCCUGGGGAGUACGGCCGCAAGGUUAAAACUCAAAUGAAUUGACGGGGGCCCGCACAAGCGGUGGAGCAUGUGGUUUAAUUCGAUGCAACGCGAAGAACCUUACCUGGUCUUGACAUCCACAGAACUUAGCAGAGAUGCUUUGGUGCCUUCGGGAACUGUGAGACAGGUGCUGCAUGGCUGUCGUCAGCUCGUGUUGUGAAAUGUUGGGUUAAGUCCCGCAACGAGCGCAACCCUUAUCCUUUGUUGCCAGCGGUUAGGCCGGGAACUCAAAGGAGACUGCCAGUGAUAAACUGGAGGAAGGUGGGGAUGACGUCAAGUCAUCAUGGCCCUUACGACCAGGGCUACACACGUGCUACAAUGGCAUAUACAAAGAGAAGCGACCUCGCGAGAGCAAGCGGACCUCAUAAAGUAUGUCGUAGUCCGGAUUGGAGUCUGCAACUCGACUCCAUGAAGUCGGAAUCGCUAGUAAUCGUAGAUCAGAAUGCUACGGUGAAUACGUUCCCGGGCCUUGUACACACCGCCCGUCACACCAUGGGAGUGGGUUGCAAAAGAAGUAGGUAGCUUAACCUUCGGGAGGGCGCUUACCACUUUGUGAUUC